RNAcentral lists this ribosomal RNA (252 nucleotides) under uncultured bacterium. Its description in RNAcentral is "partial 16S ribosomal RNA". It matches the Rfam family "Bacterial small subunit ribosomal RNA", at positions 524 to 776 of the family's 1533-position model. The record is from RNAcentral.
UACGUAGGGGGCAAGCGUUGUCCGGAUCAUUGGGCGUAAAGAGCGUGUAGGCGGCCAGGUAGGUCGGUUGUGAAAACUGGAGGCUCAACCUUCAGAGGUCGACCGAAACCAUCUGGCUAGAGUCCGGGAGAGGAGAGUGGAAUUCCUGGUGUAGCGGUGAAAUGCGCAGAUAUCAGGAAGAACACCCGUGGCGAAAGCGGCUCUCUGGAACGGUACUGACGCUGAGACGCGAAAGCGUGGGGAGCGAACAGG